AACGCACCUUGCGCUCUCUGGUAUUCCGGAGAGCAUGUCUGUUUGAGUGUCAUGAACUCUUCAACCCACCAGUUUCUUGUAGACUGAUUGGUGUUUGGUUUCUGAGCGUUGCUGGUCUUCGGAUCUAGCUCGUUCGUAAUAUAUUAGCAUCUCUAAUUCGAACUCGGAUUGACUCAGUGUAAUAGACUAUUCGCUGAGGACACGCUCUUGCAGUGUGGCCGAAUGAGAUCUCAGUAGAAGCUUCCAACUACUUUAGUCAACUUUAGAUUAGACCUCAGAUCAGGCAGGAUUACCCGCUGAACUUAA
RNAcentral lists this unclassified non-coding RNA (306 nucleotides) under uncultured Leucosporidiales. RNAcentral's name for it is "sequence contains ITS2". The stretch from base 1 to 52 matches the Rfam family "5.8S ribosomal RNA", at positions 103 to 154 of the family's 154-position model. The record is from RNAcentral. Lineage: Eukaryota; Fungi; Basidiomycota; Microbotryomycetes; Leucosporidiales.